ACCUGAGUGGAUCUCCAGGCAGGAGGUGCUUUGAAGGUGGUGUCCCCUGCUGUGUCCCUUCCUCUCUCUGGGGAGCAGGCUGGCUCCGCUCUGACCUAGUUCAGCAGCUCCAGAGAGCAGAUGAGAGAUGGAAGGGUUUUGUGGCAUCAUGUUGCACCUUGAGUGCUUCCUGGUCCACUGGCUUGAGUUUCCUGGAGACAAAGGCUGGGCUUAGCCCUGCCAGUGCUCAGUCAGGGCUGGCUCUGGUGGCACUGGUGACAUCAAGGACAUCUUAUGUGGCUGUUGUAGCUCAGUUCUGCAGUUCCCAUCCGGUUCAGUUGUUGUUUCACAUCACAGCAGUGACUGCAGAGUCCUCCUGAAUUACACAUGAGUUUGGGGAGAACCGUGGUCUCUUUGGCUGUGUUUGCUGCUUUAAUUAGAACACAAGAUAAAGCUCGUGGCUUUAUCCUGCAGAGAGGGCAGGGGUAGGUGGCUGGGAGGUUUCUGGGGCUGAGGAGAUGUGCCUGUUUGCUUUCCAUCACCACUCUCAGCCAGGAACCACACUGCCCUGUGCUUAACCUGUGAUUGCAGCAAAGACCCUGCCGUGUUUCUCCCCAGCAGCAUGUGAGAGAGUCAGGGCAGAGGAUGUUGCACUUGGAAUCUCCAAGGUUAAGAGGGAAAUCAUGUCAAGAGGCAGCAGAACUGGUGGGCUUUUCCUGCUGCUUGGUGUGUUAAGGGAUUGGGAAACUGGGAUUAGGACAGUCCUGCCAUGCAGCUGUAAAGGGCUUGGGGCCCUGGAGCUUUCCUGAAGUUAGGUUGGAUGCAGUAUCUGUCCCCUUCAUCUGGGGGGUCUUGAUCUCAGCAGAUAUUUGAGUACUGCCAUUUUAGUGUGACACUCCCUCUGGGCUUAACCUGGCAGGAGAAGGCCAGAAAUGAACAGCAGCAACUCCUGGAGGUUUCCUGCAGCCUCUUGCAUGGUGUUCUCACUGGAGAUGUUCCUGGCAGGGCUGGCUCCUGCAGGAAGGAUCACUGGUGCUUUGGGACAGACUAGGGGCAGAAGGGGACGUGCCAACUUGUGAAGCAGCAGGUUGCUGGUUUCCUUCAGGAAUUGCACUGUUCUGGGGCCACAUGCAGGCAGCUGCUGCCUGGAGCCUUGGCUGGGCAGUGGCUGUGGACGUGCCCUGGCUGUGGGGAUUGCCUGAAUUGUGGGGCUGUGUGCCACCAGGCUUGUGCUGGCCGUGGUGUGCGAGGGGACGCUACCACUUUGUAGAUUCCCGAGCUGUCCAUCUGUUUCAUUGUUGUAUUGUUUGGGUUCUAGGGUUGUUUUUUAUGAAGACAGAUUAAAUGUAAAUAGCCUUUUUUUUGGAACAAACUGCAACGUGCUCGACCUCGUCAACUAUUUUAUGGUACUAAUGCAACACUAAUAAAACUGGACAUGAAAGCACA
This is a non-coding RNA of Sturnus vulgaris (Common starling), 1425 nucleotides long. The record is from RefSeq and is a predicted model, not a curated record. Lineage: Eukaryota; Metazoa; Chordata; Aves; Passeriformes; Sturnidae.